AUGAACGCUGGCGGCGUGCCUAAUACAUGCAAGUCGAGCGAACAGACGAGGAGCUUGCUCCUCUGACGUUAGCGGCGGACGGGUGAGUAACACGUGGAUAACCUACCUAUAAGACUGGGAUAACUUCGGGACACCGGAGCUAAUACCGGAUAAUAUAUUGAACCGCAUGGUUCAAUAGUGAAAGACGGUUUUGCUGUCACUUAUAGAUGGAUCCGCGCCGCAUUAGCUAGUUGGUAAGGUAACGGCUUACCAAGGCAACGAUGCGUAGCCGACCUGAGAGGGUGAUCGGCCACACUGGAACUGAGACACGGUCCAGACUCCUACGGGAGGCAGCAGUAGGGAAUCUUCCGCAAUGGGCGAAAGCUUGACGGAGCAACGCCGCGUGAGUGAUGAAGGUCUUCGGAUCGUAAAACUCUGUUAUUAGGGAAGAACAAAUGUGUAAGUAACUAUGCACGUCUUGACGGUACCUAAUCAGAAAGCCACGGCUAACUACGUG
RNAcentral lists this ribosomal RNA (496 nucleotides) under uncultured bacterium. Its description in RNAcentral is "partial 16S ribosomal RNA". It matches the Rfam family "Bacterial small subunit ribosomal RNA", at positions 29 to 507 of the family's 1533-position model. The record is from RNAcentral.